RNAcentral lists this ribosomal RNA (460 nucleotides) under uncultured bacterium. RNAcentral's name for it is "partial 16S ribosomal RNA". It matches the Rfam family "Bacterial small subunit ribosomal RNA", at positions 338 to 795 of the family's 1533-position model. The record is from RNAcentral.
CCUACGGGGGGCAGCAGUGAGGAAUAUUGGUCAAUGGACGAGAGUCUGAACCAGCCAAGUAGCGUGAAGGAUGACUGCCCUAUGGGUUGUAAACUUCUUUUAUAUGGGAAUAAAAUGUUCCACGUGUGGGAUUUUGUAUGUACCAUAUGAAUAAGGAUAGGCUAACUCCGUGCCAGCAGCCGCGGUAAUACGGAGGAUCCGAGCGUUAUCCGGAUUUAUUGGGUUUAAAGGGAGCGUAGGUGGAUUGUUAAGUCAGUUGUGAAAGUUUGCGGCUCAACCGUAAAAUUGCAGUUGAAACUGGCAGUCUUGAGUACAGUAGAGGUGGGCGGAAUGCGUGGUGUAGCGGUGAAAUGCUUAGAUAUCACGAAGAACUCCGAUUGCGAAGGCAGUUCACUGGACUGCAACUGACACUGAGGCUCGAAAGUGUGGGUAUCAAACAGGAUUAGAUACCCGGGUAGUC